RNAcentral lists this ribosomal RNA (481 nucleotides) under uncultured bacterium. RNAcentral describes it as "partial 16S ribosomal RNA". It matches the Rfam family "Bacterial small subunit ribosomal RNA", at positions 28 to 523 of the family's 1533-position model. The record is from RNAcentral.
GACGAACGCUGGCGGCGUGCUUAACACAUGCAAGUCGAACGGUGAAAGGGAGCUUGCUCCCUGGAUCAGUGGCGAACGGGUGAGUAACACGUGGGCAACCUGCCCCAGACUUCGGGAUAACGCUUCGAAAGAGGUGCUAAUACCGGAUACGAACUCCUUGGGCAUCCUUGGAGUUGGAAAGUUUUUCGGUCUGGGAUGGGCCCGCGGCCUAUCAGCUUGUUGGCGAGGUAACGGCUCACCAAGGCGACGACGGGUAGCCGGCCUGAGAGGGCGACCGGCCACACUGGGACUGAGACACGGCCCAGACUCCUACGGGAGGCAGCAGUGGGGAAUAUUGCGCAAUGGGCGAAAGCCUGACGCAGCAACGCCGCGUGAGGGAUGACGGCCUUCGGGUUGUAAACCUCUUUCAGCAGGGAAGAAGCGAAAGUGACGGUACCUGCAGAAGAAGCACCGGCUAACUACGUGCCAGCAGCCGGAGUAA